This 71-nucleotide transfer RNA is filed under the name Cordylochernes scorpioides. RNAcentral describes it as "tRNA-Gly". It matches the Rfam family "tRNA". Rfam says of the family: Transfer RNA (tRNA) molecules are approximately 80 nucleotides in length. The record is from RNAcentral. Lineage: Eukaryota; Metazoa; Arthropoda; Arachnida; Pseudoscorpiones; Chernetidae.
GCAUCGGUGGUUCAGUGGUAGAAUGCUCGCCUGCCACGCGGGCUGCCCGGGUAAGAUUCCCGGCCGAUGCA